This 472-nucleotide ribosomal RNA is filed under the name uncultured bacterium. RNAcentral's name for it is "bacterial SSU rRNA". It matches the Rfam family "Bacterial small subunit ribosomal RNA", at positions 28 to 499 of the family's 1533-position model. The record is from RNAcentral.
GAUGAACGCUGGCGGCGUGCUUAACACAUGCAAGUCGAACGAAGCACUUUAACUUGAUUUCUUCGGAAUGAUUGUUCUUGUGACUGAGUGGCGGACGGGUGAGUAACGCGUGGGUAACCUGCCUCAUACAGGGGGAUAACAGUUAGAAAUGACUGCUAAUACCGCAUAAGCGCACGGUAUCGCAUGAUACAGUGUGAAAAACUCCGGUGGUAUGAGAUGGACCCCGCGUCUGAUUAGCUAGUUGGUGGGGUAACGGCCUACCAAGGCGACGAUCAGUAGCCGACCUGAGAGGGUGACCGGCCACAUUGGGACUGAGACACGGCCCAAACUCCUACGGGAGGCAGCAGUGGGGAAUAUUGCACAAUGGGCGAAAGCCUGAUGCAGCGACGCCGCGUGAAUGAAGAGUAUUUCGGAUGUAAAGUUCUAUCAGCAGGGAANAUAAUGACGGUACCUGACUAAGAAGCACCGGGCU